UUGUGUCUAUCAAUAUUAGAGUCAUAGCAAUGAGGGAAUGAUUUCUUAUGUCACUCAUUUGCUCCAAUACCCCCUGUGAUAGCAUGAUGAGAUAAGAAUACAUUGUCAACUGGAACUCAACAUUUUCUGUCCCUUUUUUUGUUCAAGUUUUUUAUUUUAUAGCAGGCAAUUUUAAUUUGGCAGGCUCUGUACAAAUCCAAUCACCAUUUGGAACUCCAGGAGGAUUGCUCUGCCUUGAUGAGUAACAAGAUGCACUGGAAUGUGUUUGGGAUUGCUCUUUCAGCCCUGGCAGAUCAUAGAGACCUCUAGGCUGUCCUGUAUGAACUACUGUACACCUUGUUGCAUCAGCCACAGGAUCAGCCACAUUACGCUCCUGCAGGGACAGCCAGGAGUUGUAUGUUUAACUCUGGAAAAUAACUGAUGACCCGAGAGAGUUACACACCACCAUUUGUUUGCAGUGACCACUGUGAUGCCAGAAGCCUCCUGCCUUCAGAAGUUAUGAAAUAGACUGAUCCUGCACCACAGUAGUUAUGUGCAACAAAGCCUGAUUUCUAUGGACUUUCAAGGAAGUAAUUGAGCAAAUAAUUCAGCUCUGAGAAAGUGAGAGCAAUGACAAAUCUUACUGGGUUAGAAGCAAUUGUAGGUGACAAGCUGUUUUAUAAUGAAGCCACUUGUAUUCAGAGUUUUUCAUCCUGGUUGACGAGUGUAAUUUUAGCCACACAGGCUUAAAGAUUUUAAUGUAAAUUCAGGAGGAGCUUAACCACUGGAUUUCUCUUGUGGAAAUGGAUUUCCAGGUUGGGAACAACUCUAGCUCUUAGGCAGUUUUCCCAUUUACUAAGUAUAGCCAUUCAUUUUCAUUUGCAUAAAGAACAUGGAUAUGUAAGUCUCCAAUUACUUUAAAAGCAAUAUUUCAACAGAUACAGUGAAGUAAUUAGUUUAAUGAGGAAAUGUCAUUACGUAGUGGAAAGCUUGGUUUGCCAAGGAUCAAUUUGUAUUUGAAUCCAACUAGAAAUGAAAUGCACAGAACAAAAAGUAAAUUAUUUUAGUAAAAGCCACCUUGUCCGUUUGGAACAAAUGGAAAGUAUGUAUGUCUGCUUCUCAACCAGAGGGGCUGAGUAAGGGGCUUUUUGGUAUUAGAAGACUUACAAAUGAUUGUUUAAAAUAUGAAGAGAGUAGGACAGUUUAUUGUGCAAACAUGGGGAGUCAACAAGCUCCUUCUAUGGAAAGUAGAAUAAUUAUUUCCAGAACACUUUUUUCCUAUAUAUAAAAUGAGGAUAUUUAUUACUUAUGGCAUCUUUUCAGAACUGUGAAGCCUAAUUCAGAAACACUUGUUGGUAUCUCUGAAAUUCUCAUACAGGGCAGGAAAUAUCAUAACUUUUAUAACUGGAUUUCAUUUGCUUAUUGUUAACUGCUGUUGAUAUGCUGUCAUGUAAAUUCAUCAUCUCUCCCAUACAAAUAAAGCACAAGAUAUUGCUCAAAUAAUUUUCCUGUCUGUACUGGAGG
Coturnix japonica (Japanese quail) is the source of this 1503-nucleotide non-coding RNA. The record is from RefSeq and is a predicted model, not a curated record. NCBI's taxonomy places the organism in Eukaryota, Metazoa, Chordata, Aves, Galliformes, Phasianidae.